UGGGGAAUAUUGGGCAAUGGGCGCAAGCCUGACCCAGCAACGCCGCGUGAAGGAAGAAGGCCCUCGGGUUGUAAACUUCUUUUAUAUAGGACGAAGAAGUGACGGUACUAUAUGAAUAAGCCACGGCUAACUACGUGCCAGCAGCCGCGGUAAUACGUAGGUGGCAAGCGUUAUCCGGAUUUACUGGGUGUAAAGGGCGUGUAGGCGGGAGAGCAAGUCAGAUGUGAAAACUACAGGCUUAACCUGUAGCCUGCAUUUGAAACUGUUCUUCUUGAGUGAUGGAGAGGCAGGCGGAAUUCCUAGUGUAGCGGUGAAAUGCGUAGAUAUUAGGAGGAACACCAGUGGCGAAGGCGGCCUGCUGGACAUUAACUGACGCUGAGGCGCGAAAGCGUGGGGAGCAAACAGG
This 406-nucleotide ribosomal RNA is filed under the name uncultured bacterium. Its description in RNAcentral is "bacterial SSU rRNA". It matches the Rfam family "Bacterial small subunit ribosomal RNA", at positions 355 to 776 of the family's 1533-position model. The record is from RNAcentral.